Molecule: long non-coding RNA, 248 nt
Filed under: Lathyrus oleraceus (garden pea)
Lineage: Eukaryota; Viridiplantae; Streptophyta; Magnoliopsida; Fabales; Fabaceae
Description: Pisum sativum (pea) long non-coding RNA (PSAT_LNC029256)
Source: RNAcentral
CACAUCCUAGGGAGUGUCUUGUCUAAAUGACAACCACAAGAUUUCCCUCACGAGAGGUCGAAAUCACAAAUCCAAUGGUUGUCCCUUGCCAACAAAACAAGUGAGACAAUCACAAAUCCUUUCAAACCAAAUCAACAAACGUCACACAAUUUGUUCCACAAAAAAAAACUCUAAAAAAAAGAGAGAGAAGAAGCCCGCUAAGUCGAAACUUGAAAGCAAGUGGCUUAGGCAAAAAUUAGGGUAUCCCG